Molecule: unclassified non-coding RNA, 220 nt
Filed under: uncultured Solirubrobacteraceae bacterium
Lineage: Bacteria; Bacillati; Actinomycetota; Thermoleophilia; Solirubrobacterales; Solirubrobacteraceae
Description: contains 16S-23S intergenic spacer region
Source: RNAcentral
UCCGGUUUGUCACCGGCAGUCUCGCAUGAGUCCCCAACUAAAUGCUGGCAACAUACGACGGGGGUUGCGCUCGUUGCGGGACUUAACCCAACAUCUCACGACACGAGCUGACGACAGCCAUGCACCACCUGUGAAGGUGCCCCGAAGGGAAGCCGUGUUUCCACGGCGGUCACCCACAUGUCAAGCCCAGGUAAGGUGGGGAUGACGUUUACCGACAGCU